GACUAAUGCACCCGCGGUGUCCUUGUCAAUCUAUUAUAUCCGUGGAAACAUCGUCUUCCUUUUUAUUCUCCGAAAACUGGUCAGCGGCUUCGUUUCCGACGACCGACAAACAGAGUUAAAGGAAAAGGAAGAGAUUGUAUCUCUU
Molecule: non-coding RNA, 145 nt
Organism: Caenorhabditis elegans
Lineage: Eukaryota; Metazoa; Nematoda; Chromadorea; Rhabditida; Rhabditidae
Source: Ensembl